UACGGGGGGGGCAAGCGUUGUUCGGAAUUACUGGGCGUAAAGGGCUCGUAGGUGGCCAACUAAGUCAGACGUGAAAUCCCUCGGCUUAACUGGGGAACUGCGUCUGAGACUGGUGAGCUUGAGUGCAGGAGAGGAACGCGGAAUUCCAGGUGUAGCGGUGAAAUGCGUAGAUAUCUGGAGGAACACCGGUGGCGAAGGCGGCGUUCUGGACUGCUACUGACACUGAGGAACGAAAGCCAGGGGAGCAAACGGG
RNAcentral lists this ribosomal RNA (253 nucleotides) under uncultured bacterium. RNAcentral's name for it is "partial 16S ribosomal RNA". It matches the Rfam family "Bacterial small subunit ribosomal RNA", at positions 524 to 776 of the family's 1533-position model. The record is from RNAcentral.